This is a long non-coding RNA of Gadus macrocephalus (Pacific cod), 111 nucleotides long. RefSeq lists it as uncharacterized. Lineage: Eukaryota; Metazoa; Chordata; Actinopteri; Gadiformes; Gadidae. The transcript is spliced from 2 exons. The record is from RefSeq and is a predicted model, not a curated record.
GUAUACUUCAGUCCACUGGGUAGGCUGGUAGACUGAUCUAUCCAGCACAGAUCUAGGUGGACACGCCCACUAGUGAUGUCAUAUGGGGCAGAUUUUCGAAACGGCUUGUAA